GAGCAGGCGUGCACCAGCCAUGCCGCGUGCAGGAAGACGGCCCUAUGGGUUGUAAACUGCUUUUGUGAGGAGAUAAACCUACCGAUGCGUUGGUAGCUGAAGGUACCUGAACAAUAAAGAUCGGCUAACUCCAUGCCAGCAGCCGCGGUAAUACGGAGGAUCCGAGCGUUAUCCGGAUUUAUUGGGUUUAAAGGGUGCGCAGGCUGACCGGUAAGUCAGAGGUGAAAAUCUACGGCUCAACUGUGACACUGCCUUAGAUACUGUCGGACUAGAGUUAAGUUGGAGUGGGCGGAAUGUGUUGUGUAGCGGAGAAAUGCAUAGAUAUAACACAGAACACCGAUCGCGAAGGCAGCUCACUAAACUUAAACUGACGCUCAUGCACGAAAGCGUGGGGAUCAAACAGGAUUAGAUACCCUGGUAGUCCACGCUGUAAACGAUGAUCACUCGCUGUUGGCGAUAUACAGUCAGUGGCUAAGCGAAAGUGAUAAGUGAUCCACCUGGGGAGUACGACCGCAAGGUUG
RNAcentral lists this ribosomal RNA (521 nucleotides) under Bacillus sp. enrichment culture. RNAcentral describes it as "bacterial SSU rRNA". It matches the Rfam family "Bacterial small subunit ribosomal RNA", at positions 375 to 896 of the family's 1533-position model. Lineage: Bacteria; Bacillati; Bacillota; Bacilli; Caryophanales; Bacillaceae. The record is from RNAcentral.